GCGCCCGUAGCUCAAUGGAUAGAGCAUCGGUCUUCUAAACCGAGUGUUGACAGUUCGAUCCUGUCCGGGCGCACCA
This 76-nucleotide transfer RNA is filed under the name Coriobacteriaceae bacterium. RNAcentral's name for it is "tRNA-Arg". It matches the Rfam family "tRNA". From Rfam's summary of the family: Transfer RNA (tRNA) molecules are approximately 80 nucleotides in length. Their secondary structure includes four short double-helical elements and three loops (D, anti-codon, and T loops). Further hydrogen bonds mediate the characteristic L-shaped molecular structure. tRNAs have two regions of fundamental functional importance: the anti-codon, which is responsible for specific mRNA codon recognition, and the 3' end, to which the tRNAs corresponding amino acid is attached (by aminoacyl-tRNA synthetases). tRNAs cope with the degeneracy of the genetic code in two manners: having more than one tRNA (with a specific anti-codon) for a particular amino acid; and 'wobble' base-pairing, i.e. permitting non-standard base-pairing at the 3rd anti-codon position. Lineage: Bacteria; Bacillati; Actinomycetota; Coriobacteriia; Coriobacteriales; Coriobacteriaceae. The record is from RNAcentral. RNAcentral also lists the same sequence under 4 other names.